AACUAACGCUGGCGGCGCGUCUUAAACAUGCAAGUCGAACGGUAGUCCUUGAGCUUGCUUAGGGAUGAGAGUGGCGAACGGGUGAGUAACACGUGGAUAAUCUGCCUCCGGGUUGGGGAUAACUGUCCGAAAGGAUAGCUAAUACCGAAUGAGAUGGUGAUUACAUAAGUAGUAGCCAUUAAAGGUGGGGACCGCAAGGCCUACUGCCUGGAGAUGAGUCCGCGGCUGAUUAGCUUGUUGGUGGGUAACGGCCUACCAAGGCGACGAUCAGUAGCCGGCCUGAGAGGGUGAACGGCCACAUUGGGACUGAGAUACGGCCCAGACUCCUACGGGAGGCAG
Molecule: ribosomal RNA, 339 nt
Filed under: uncultured Spirochaetota bacterium
Lineage: Bacteria; Pseudomonadati; Spirochaetota
Description: bacterial SSU rRNA
Rfam family: Bacterial small subunit ribosomal RNA
Source: RNAcentral